Long non-coding RNA from Mastomys coucha (southern multimammate mouse), 286 nucleotides. RefSeq lists it as uncharacterized. The record is from RefSeq and is a predicted model, not a curated record. The transcript has 2 exons. Lineage: Eukaryota; Metazoa; Chordata; Mammalia; Rodentia; Muridae.
AGCUAAACGUAUCAUCAGAAAACAUUUGAUUCCCCAGCUUUGCUGUAGCCCGCCUACCUGAUGUUUCUACCAAUACGUGUGAAAAGCGUCCAGGCAAGAACAGAAGAAUUAUUUACAGUUUAUCAAGAGACAGAUGCUGGUGCCUGAAUUUUCAUAAGAAAGAGGAGAGGAAGGAAGAGAGGGGAAGAAGAGAAUGAAGGCAGAACAGAAAAGAGAAGAAACCAUGUGUUUUCUAAAGGGCCGGAGUUAUUUAUUAACGAAUAAUAAAUAGUAAAGCUAAAAAGAA